AAAAUUUUAUUUUCUCACAGUUCUGAAGACUGGAAGUCAGUGAUUAAGGUGCCAGCAGGGUUGUUUUGUGAAGUGAGGGUGAGAGGGAAGAGCAUGCAGGUAGCCUGAACACAGGAAUGCUGAAAAGUUUAUAAGAAACUCCAUAAGAAAAAUGAAACUCAUAAAGCAAAGCAGAUGUAUUGUAGCCACCUAGACCAUGCCUGUCACAUAAUAGUUUCUUUAUAAAGAUGUAUUGAUGCAUCA
This 243-nucleotide long non-coding RNA is filed under the name Fukomys damarensis (Damara mole-rat). RNAcentral describes it as "lncRNA (ENSFDAG00000031288.1)". The record is from RNAcentral. Lineage: Eukaryota; Metazoa; Chordata; Mammalia; Rodentia; Bathyergidae.